GAUGAACGCUGGCGGCGUGCCUAAUACAUGCAAGUCGAGCGAACAGACGAUGAGUUUGUUCCUUUCUCGUUUGCGGCGGACGGGUGUGUAACAUGUGGAUAACCUCCUUAUAAGUCUGGGAUCUUCUCGGGAAACCGGCGCUAAUCCCGGAUAAUAUCCUGCACCGUAUGGUUCAAUAGUGAAAGUCGGUUUUGCUGUCACUUAUCGAUGGAUCUGGGCCGCAUUAGAUAGUUGGUAAGGUAACGGCUUAUCAAGGCAACGAUGCGUAGCCGACGUGCGAGGGUGAUCGGCCACACGAGAACGGGAACACGGACCAGGCGCCUACGAGAGGCAGCAGUAGGGAAUCGGCCGCAGUAGGCGAGAGCCUUGCGGAACAACGGCGCGUGAGAGAUAAAAAUCUUCGGUGCGUGAAGCUCUGUUAUGGGGGAAAAACAGAUGUGUAAGUAACUAUGCACGGCGUGACGGUACCUAGUCAGAAAGCCACGGCUAACUACGUG
This 497-nucleotide ribosomal RNA is filed under the name uncultured bacterium. Its description in RNAcentral is "partial 16S ribosomal RNA". It matches the Rfam family "Bacterial small subunit ribosomal RNA", at positions 28 to 507 of the family's 1533-position model. The record is from RNAcentral.